This 426-nucleotide ribosomal RNA is filed under the name uncultured bacterium. RNAcentral's name for it is "bacterial SSU rRNA". It matches the Rfam family "Bacterial small subunit ribosomal RNA", at positions 358 to 776 of the family's 1533-position model. The record is from RNAcentral.
GGAAUAUUGGACAAUGGGGGCAACCCUGAUCCAGCCAUGCCGCGUGUGUGAAGAAGGCCUUUUGGUUGUAAAGCACUUUAAGCAGUGAAGAAGACUCCAUGGUUAAUACCCAUGGACGAUGACAUUAGCUGCAGAAUAAGCACCGGCUAACUCUGUGCCAGCAGCCGCGGUAAUACGUAGGGUGCAAGCGUUAAUCGGAAUUACUGGGCGUAAAGCGUGCGCAGGCGGUUUUGUAAGACAGAGGUGAAAUCCCCGGGCUUAACCUGGGAACGGCAUCUGAUACUGUUAGGCUAGAGUAGGUGAGAGGAAGGUAGAAUUCCAGGUGUAGCGGUGAAAUGCGUAGAGAUCUGGAGGAAUACCGAUGGCGAAGGCAGCCUUCUGGCAUCAUACUGACACUGAGGUUCGAAAGCGUGGGUAGCAAACAGG